GCCGAAUGGACUAGCCCCGAAAAUGGAUGGCGCUGAAGCGGGUGACUGAUACCCAAUCAUGGCUGCAAGCACAGUAGCUUUGAGUAGGAGGGCAUGGUGGUUGCAGCGCAGCCCACUCGUGAGCAAGGGUGAAGGAACUUCCAGUGCAGAUCUUGGUGGUAGUAGCGACUAGUCUGAUGAUGACCUCGGACGACUGAAGCACAGAAA
Molecule: ribosomal RNA, 207 nt
Filed under: Symbiodinium sp. clade D
Lineage: Eukaryota; Dinophyceae; Suessiales; Symbiodiniaceae
Description: partial Eukaryotic large subunit ribosomal RNA
Rfam family: Eukaryotic large subunit ribosomal RNA
Source: RNAcentral